This 200-nucleotide ribosomal RNA is filed under the name uncultured bacterium. RNAcentral's name for it is "partial 16S ribosomal RNA". It matches the Rfam family "Bacterial small subunit ribosomal RNA", at positions 28 to 229 of the family's 1533-position model. The record is from RNAcentral.
GAUGAACGCUAGCGGCAGGCUUAACACAUGCAAGUCGAGGGGUAGAGUUAGCUUGCUAAUUUGAGACCGGCGCACGGGUGCGUAACGCGUAUGCAACCUACCUUUCACAAAGGGAUAGCCCAGAGAAAUUUGGAUUAAUACCUUAUAGUAUAUCGAUGUGGCAUCACAAUGAUAUUAAAGAUUUAUCGGUACAAGAUGAG